This 46-nucleotide non-coding RNA is filed under the name Trichobilharzia regenti. Lineage: Eukaryota; Metazoa; Platyhelminthes; Trematoda; Strigeidida; Schistosomatidae. The record is from RNAcentral.
GUAUUGCUGAAGAGUCCGAGAGUAGGACGAAACAACUGUCCAGUAA